GGUUCCGUAGUUCAAUGGAUAGAAUGCAAGAUUCCGGUUCUUGUGAUGAAGGUUCGAAUCCUUUCGGGACUA
This 72-nucleotide transfer RNA is filed under the name Alistipes sp. RNAcentral describes it as "tRNA-Arg". It matches the Rfam family "tRNA". From Rfam's summary of the family: Transfer RNA (tRNA) molecules are approximately 80 nucleotides in length. Their secondary structure includes four short double-helical elements and three loops (D, anti-codon, and T loops). The record is from RNAcentral. RNAcentral also lists the same sequence under 3 other names. Lineage: Bacteria; Pseudomonadati; Bacteroidota; Bacteroidia; Bacteroidales; Rikenellaceae.